This 468-nucleotide ribosomal RNA is filed under the name uncultured bacterium. RNAcentral's name for it is "partial 16S ribosomal RNA". It matches the Rfam family "Bacterial small subunit ribosomal RNA", at positions 28 to 507 of the family's 1533-position model. The record is from RNAcentral.
GACGAACGCUGGCGGCGUGCUUAACACAUGCAAGUCGAACGGAAAGGCCCUGCUUUUGUGGGGUGCUCGAGUGGCGAACGGGUGAGUAACACGUGAGUAACCUGCCCUUGACUUUGGGAUAACUUCAGGAAACUGGGGCUAAUACCGGAUAGGAGCUCCUGCUGCAUGGUGGGGGUUGGAAAGUUUCGGCGGUAGGGGAUGGACUCGCGGCUUAUCAGCUUGUUGGUGGGGUAGUGGCUUACCAAGGGUGUGACGGGUAGGCGGCCUGAGAGGGUGAACGGCCACAUUGGUACUGAGAGACGGCCCAGACGCCUACGGUAGGCAGCAGUGGAGAAUAUGGCGCAAUGGGCGGAAGCGUGAGACAGCAACGCCGCGAUCGGAAUGACGGCCUUCGGGGUGUAAACCGCUUUCGCCUGUGACGAAGCGGGAGUGACGGUAAUGGGUAAAGAAGCACCGGCUAACUACGUG